UACGUAGGGGGCAAGCGUUGUCCGGAUUUAUUGGGCGUAAAGAGCGCGUAGGCGGCCUGGCAGGUCUGCUGUGAAAACUCGAGGCUCAACCUCGAGACGGCGGCGGAAACCAUCUGGCUAGAGUCCGGAAGAGGAGAGUGGAAUUCCUGGUGUAGCGGUGAAAUGCGCAGAUAUCAGGAAGAACACCCGUGGCGAAGGCGACUCUCUGGGACGGUACUGACGCUGAGACGCGAAAGCGUGGGGAGCGAACAGG
Molecule: ribosomal RNA, 253 nt
Filed under: uncultured bacterium
Lineage: Bacteria
Description: partial 16S ribosomal RNA
Rfam family: Bacterial small subunit ribosomal RNA
Source: RNAcentral